UACGGGGGGGGCAAGCGUUGUUCGGAAUUACUGGGCGUAAAGGGCUCGUAGGCGGCCAACUAAGUCAGACGUGAAAUCCCUCGGCUUAACCGGGGAACUGCGUCUGAUACUGGAUGGCUAGAGGUUGGGAGAGGGAUGCGGAAUUCCAGGUGUAGCGGUGAAAUUCGUAGAUAUCAAGCGGAACACCGGUGGCGAAGGCGGCCUUCUGGACAGUGACUGACGCUGAGACGCGAAAGCGUGGGGAGCAAACAGG
This 253-nucleotide ribosomal RNA is filed under the name uncultured bacterium. Its description in RNAcentral is "partial 16S ribosomal RNA". It matches the Rfam family "Bacterial small subunit ribosomal RNA", at positions 524 to 776 of the family's 1533-position model. The record is from RNAcentral.